CUACCUCCAGCAAAAAGAAAAAAAAAUGCGUGAAAAGGUACAAAAGCAAAAUCAGCGGCUCUUGUAUAUAAAAGAUAAAGCUAUCCAUAUUGCGAUCUUUAAUUAAGAGUGAAGAAGUUAUGUACCACAAUCAAUGUUGGUAAUUAAGCUGCGUACUAUUGGUGUAAGUUGUUGAUAACUUAAGCAGAGAUCGAAAAUGCAGAAGCACAAUACUAAUAUUCACUUGUUCAUCAUCUUGUUGAUACUUGUUGGGUUACCUUUGAGCUCAUUUUCAAGGCAUGAAGAUGAUUAUUCGGAGAAUUAUGCUGUGAUAUUUGACGCUGGAAGCACUGGUAGCAGAGUUCAUGUCUUCCGUUUUAACUCAAAUAUGGACCUCCUCAAUAUUGCCAAUGAUCUUGAGUUCUUUUUGGCGAUAAAACCAGGUCUGAGUUCAUAUGCAGAUGAUCCAAAGGCUGCUGCAAAUUCUCUAAAGCCCCUUCUUGAGAAAGCUGAAGCUGUUGUUCCUAAGAAAUUACAGCCUCAAACCCCUCUUAAAAUUGGGGCAACUGCAGGGCUGAGGUUGUUAAAGGGUGAUUCAUCCGAAAAGAUUCUGCAAGCAGUAAGAGAUUUGCUGAAGAAUGAAACUACUUUGAGUUGCAAGGCUGAAUGGGUCUCUGUUCUCGAAGGAACCCAAGAAGCUUCUUAUUUUUGGGUUGCUUUGAACUAUUUGUAUGGGAAUUUGGGUAAAAGUUACUCAGACACCAUUGCUACAAUUGAUCUUGGAGGUGGAUCAGUCCAAAUUGCUUAUGCUGUCUCAAAACAAAGUGCUUUAAAUGCUCCUAAAUUAUCUAAUGGAGAGCCUUAUGUCCAACAAAGAUCACUUCUUGGAACAAAUUAUUACCUCUAUGUUCACAGUUUUCUAAAUUAUGGACUAUUAGCGGCUCGAGCUGAUAUAUUGAAGGCUUCUAAAAAUUCUACCAGUCCAUGCAUCGUGGAAGGGCAUAAUGGGUACUACACAUAUAAUGGAGUAGCUUAUAAAGCUGCAGCACAAAAAGAUGGUCCAAGUGUUAGGAGAUGCAAAGCAGUAAUUAGAAAAUUGUUGCAGCUUGAUGCACCUUGCAACCACAAGAAUUGUUCAUUUGCUGGGGUUUGGAAUGGUGAUGGUGGGGCUGGAACCAAAAAUCUCCAUGUCUCUUCAUUUUUCUAUGAUUUUGCUUCUGUGGUUGGCAUAGUAGAUCCAAAAGAGCCCUCUGGUAUAUCUCAACCAAUACAAUACUAUAAAGCAGCAAAGCUUGCUUGUCAGACUAAGAAGCAAAACAUGAAAUCAGUAUUCCGUAACAUUGGAGAUAAAGACAUACCCUUUCUGCAUGGAUCUAAUGUAUGAAUACACUUUGCUGGUAGAUGGAUUUGGCAUUGGUCCUUACAGAAAGAUCACAGUGGUGCAUCAAGUUAAUUACAAAAAUCACCUUGUUGAAGCUGCAUGGCCAUUAGGCUCUGCUAUUGAUGCUGUCUCAUCUACAACAUGAGAACAAUUAAUUACAUAUGUUGGGAUUAAUUUCCUGUUUCUUUUUCUUUAAUUUCUCUAGUUAAUUUAAUUAAGGACUUUGAAUUUCUUUAAUUUAAUUUGUUCUCAUGUGUAAAUUAAUUAUGACAUGUUUGUUUGCCUGGGAGAAUAUUAUAUUUGCUUAAACUAAUUAGAGCAAUUUCUCCCAUGGUAAAUGAAGUAGGAGCAGCUGUUUCUAUUGAUUCUCUUCAUCUAGUUAAAAUAUUAUUCCACUAACCUAA
Solanum dulcamara is the source of this 1764-nucleotide RNA transcript. It is a transcript of the gene named apyrase-like, with no coding region annotated. Lineage: Eukaryota; Viridiplantae; Streptophyta; Magnoliopsida; Solanales; Solanaceae. The transcript has 10 exons. The record is from RefSeq and is a predicted model, not a curated record.